This is a long non-coding RNA of Athalia rosae (coleseed sawfly), 847 nucleotides long. RefSeq lists it as uncharacterized. The record is from RefSeq and is a predicted model, not a curated record. The transcript has 3 exons. Lineage: Eukaryota; Metazoa; Arthropoda; Insecta; Hymenoptera; Athaliidae.
CAUAUGUUGAAUAUCGGCCUCGUGUGCAUACAUACGCCUCGAUGGAAACGGUUGAUCGUGUAUGGUUUUCUGAUAUAAGAAGUUACUUCAUUUCUGCCCUGGUAUUAGCUAUGAUAUAUGCAGCAGAUCGAUAAUGAUUCAUAAUCGUAUUGGUCGAUGUGGGGAUUGACAGAAAUAAUUAAGCAGUAAUUUAGUAUAGAGUCACUGUAGCUUAAUGACAUUCUAGAUUCGAUAAUCAUUAGAGCAGGUUUAAAGAACUACGACGUUUGGACGGAAAAAAAUAUGUUCAGUUCCAAUUAAAUGUAACUUUCAACUAUAAGUAUACAUCCACUCACUGUGAACAUGGAACCGAUUCAAAUCAAACCAUGUUCACAUGUUUAUUAAGACUUUCGGGCUAUAUAAUUCUGAUUUAUAUUAUACGACUCGGCCAUGGUGAUCGGUAAAUUAAUAAUAAAAACAUUUUUCCCGACCUUGGAGCCAAAAUUAAAAUCGUUCGUAACCCUUCGUACUCUGAUGUACUUUGAUAAGUGAAUCGAAUAUGGCCUAAUUGAAUCAGAUAUUGUUAUCUUUUGAACGAUGAUGGGGCGAUUUGUUCGACGUUUACCCGACAGUGUGAGCCCUGAGAUAAUUUACAUAACGCCUUCGAGUAUACCUUCCGAUAAUUAUGUUACUCAAUAUCCAACAAGGUAGGUAAGAAAAAUCAUUUCAUAAAGUUCCUCGUUUUUGUUUGGAAAAUUUCCCUACCGAUCGAGUGAAAAUUAUCGCUACCAUAAAUUCAUUGGUCACAAUCGUCGCACCGUGAUAAUUGUAUGCAAAUUGACGAUUGAAAAACGGUGAUUAGAAUCGA